This is a long non-coding RNA of Sarcophilus harrisii (Tasmanian devil), 3707 nucleotides long. Lineage: Eukaryota; Metazoa; Chordata; Mammalia; Dasyuromorphia; Dasyuridae. The record is from Ensembl.
UUUCUGAUCUUUUUUUUUUUUUUUUUUCAGAUAAUGUUUAUUUCCAUGCCUCGGUUUUGUACUCAUUGGGCUAAAUACUUGAUAGUGUCAGACUUAUUCUGAACCCAUCCAUAUGACAACUGUUUUUGAAACUAUAGAAUGAAUCAUAAGGAUUCAAGAUUAAUGAGACCUGAUAGAUAGAGGCAUGCUUUUGCAUAAACUCACAGAUUGAUGACUGAAAAUUUAAUGACUCUUUAUACCUUGUACAAAUAGGGUUUGGGCACCUAACAGAGUAGAGGAUGGUGGAGGAAAAUUAAUUCAUUUUGAAGCAAUGAAGCUUAAAAGAGAGAAACAAAAGUAUAUUGCCCAAAGUGUGUUAUUUUCAAUAUAGAAAUAAUUGGAUGUUUUAGUCUGCAAAGUAUUUUGAAACUUCUACCAUAAGCUAGUGCCUUUUUGCAUUUUAUUAAGCUUAUUUAUAAACUACUUUUAAAAGCUAUUGUGGUGUUUGAUCAUUGUUGAAGAGUUUCAUAUAGUCCAAGAAUCUGUGAUAAUUCUAUCCAUCACAGAUUCCAACCUACAUUCAUUUUCCUCCAAAUGGUAAUUUAUUAAUAUCUAUUUUUGUAAAUAUGGAGAAUAAAAUGGGAACAGCCUAUACAAGUCUUGUUUCCAGAAAUUGACUGGAUUUAGAAUUAGAUUGAUAAAGAGAACUCAUAAUUUCAAAGUUUUGAAAAUAAUAUAAAGGAAUCUCAAGAUAGUAAAUAUUUGUGAGUUAAGUUAGUCAACAAGCAUUUAUUAAGCACUGAUGGUGCUAAUAGCCUAUUGAGAAUAGGACCCAUAGAAUAAGUUUUUGAAAGCACGAAGCCUAGGAUUAUGCCACAAAGAACUGUAAUCUAUAGCCAAACUAUUGCACAUUCAGAGCACUUAAAUAGAUAUAUUUUUCAUGUGAAUAUUGCAGAAUUAUAUCCCUUUUAUAAGAUGAAUUAUUUUUAAGGACUGUUGUAACUAUUUGACCUCGGUUUUUAGAGCUCCCUUAAGAAUUGAAAUCCUGUGCACUGUAUCUUUUUUCUCCCCCCAGCCCCAGAUGCUUUUAUUUUUUCCUAAGGUGUAUUUGUUAUGGGAUAUGUGUUUUUCUUUUUUUUCCCUCCAAAUGUAUGUAGUCAUGCAUGUUACACAUGCAUCCAUAAUUUGGUUUUGCUACUUUUUUCAGUCAUUUUUUCCCCAGGUACUAGUUAAUCUGCAGCAGUCCAUAUAGAUGGCUAUGUUUAUCUAAUGACUACAAAUGUACUUGACAAUUUCCAGUAUACUUCUAUUGUAAGCAGCCCAGGACUCUCUCUAGUUUUCUUUGCUUUAGGCUGGAUCUUUGUCCCUUGGCUUAAAGUUGCAUCAGUGUGGUGGCCUUGUUAAUGGUAGCAGAUGUGGAGUAAAUGAGAUGACUGACUGUUUAGAAAAGAAGGAAGGGAGAUGUUACAGACUUCUUAUGGAAACAAAUUAUAUCCAUCAUUACUUGUGAUGAAUAAAAGAUAUUGAAAACUCAGUAAAGCAAAUUUUUAGAAGGACAUAGAUUAGGGUGGGCAGGAAAAAAAGCUUAGAGAAGAUUAACUUGCCAGUUAUAUAAAAAUAAAACUGUGUAUGGUCCUAUAAAAUAAUAUCAUUGACUGUAAGAAGGACUCAGUUAAGGGAUUAUAAAAACUUAGCCUAUCUGAAAAUUGUUAGAAUUGUGAGAAAUCUGUAGAAUGCCAUUCUAGUUGUUUCAGUAACAUUGUGAGUAUGUGCUUAGUAAGUACUGUUAGUCAACAAUAUUUACUAAGGACCUACUAUGUGCCUAGGUAUUGUGCUCACUCAUUUGGUCACAAAAAAAGGUCAAAGAUAUUUUUUCUUUUUUGAGGAGCUCACAGUCUUAUUGAAAGACAUGUCUGUGUGCAAACAAGCUUCAUGUAGGAUAAAUUGGAGAUAAUCAAGAGAGGGAAAGUACUAGCAUGAAGAGGAAUCAGGAAAGGCUUCUAGAAAGUUCAAUUUUAGCUGGGACUUCAGGAAAGCCAGGAGAUAGAAAGGGAGAGAAUUCCAGUCAUAAGGGAUAGCCAGUGAAAAAUAAAUGGAGGGUGUAGUAUGAAGAACAGCAAGGAGGCUAGUGUUAUUGGACUUCAGAGCAUUGGGCAUGAGGGAUGGAAUAAGAUAUAAGGUGUAAGAGGUACUAAUUAUGAAGGGUUUUGAUUACCAGAGUAUUUAAUAUUUUAUCUCAAAGGUGAUAGGGAGUCACUGGAGUUUAUCCAAUGAAAGGCUAACAUGGUUAGCCUUGCAGUGAGUGAACAAUGACCUGAAGUGUCUAGUUCUAAGAUGAUGAGGGUCUAUACUGGAAUAUAGCACAUUGGGUGAUGUUUUCGAAUUUGUGUUCCUACAUUGUGGUCAAUACACAUAUGGGUACCACAUCAAAUGUGAUGUUAGUAGAUUUUUCUCCUUUGUGUCUAUGUGCUAGGGAUUUCACCCAUGCCUCCAAACCUGAUUUAUGACCUCUUCUUUGUCAUUAGAUGUUUUCCAUUAGAUAGAACAUUCCUUUUUCUGAUAUAAUUCUUGCUGUUGCCUGUCUUAGAGGAUAUUAUCUCUGAAAUGUAAAAUAAGACUGCCUCAUUAACGUACAUUUUUGUAUGCUUUUCAUGUAUCCAUAGACUAGUAUGUUAGCUUUCAGCAUUCUAGUAUCAUAUUUCACAGUUGCUUCAUCUGCCACAUGGUAAAUGUUACUGUUCCACAUUUGGCUAUAUCAAAGGAAAUGAAUGUGUAAACAUUUUAAUAGCAUCUUAACAUAAUUUGUUUUUACUGCUAUUUAUUAAGAUGCUACUCUGUCCUAAAGGUUUGUAUUACUUUAUUUUUUUCCCCCAAAGGGCAUUGACUUCAGGAAUGCCAUAUAAUUUCGAGGAAAGUUGCAAACAAAUGUUAUUUUCCAUAUUAAACUCUCAGGUUAUAUUGUUGAAAAAUUAGUUUAUUUUUUGCUGUUACUUAAAUCUGCUGCUGUAGUAGAAAUAUAGAAGUUUAUAUGUGAUCAUAAAUAAGGGAGAACGGGCACCUUUUUUGAGUUAGUCAUGCUGGUGAUUUAGUAAGUUCUUUAUGGUUCUCAAUCUAAAAUAUUUACUUCAAAAAGAAUCAGUUUUGGCCUGAUUGAAUAAAAUGCUCCAGAAGUUGCACUGAAAGAAACAAACCAUCGAUAAAAUAUAUAAUAUAUGUGUGUAUGUAUAUAUGAGAAUAUAUAAAAUGAUAUUACAAAUGGAGCAUUUGCAUCAACUUACUAAACUCACAUUGAGAGAAAACUAAGUCCUAUAACUAAGUCUUAGUCCAACUAAGUUUUGAUAAAGCCAAGUACUGUAGCUAUAAAGAAAAGUAGCUUUCAAGUACUUUGGGAAUUCAUAACUUAGAAACUUGUAAAGGAAUAAAUAACACUUUUGUAUUUUAAUGCCUUUAGACAUAUACAAUACAAAUCUUGUGUCUAUGCUUUGACCAGCGGAAUUCUAAGCUUGUAUCAUAACUUGCUUUUAGGUGGGAGAUUUUUGAAAAUAGGAUGUAUAUAUGAUAUUGUAUAUGCAAAUGUGUUUAGUUUCACUUGUAAAGGGGGGGAAAAGGCUUAUUUUCUUUACACUUCAAUAAAUGGUUUUGCAUAUUACCGGCACUGACUGAAAGGCAUGUGUAACUGCAUACACUGUUGCUUUUUUUGUGAAAUGAAAAUAAAUAUUUAAAUACAA